RNAcentral lists this ribosomal RNA (495 nucleotides) under uncultured bacterium. RNAcentral's name for it is "partial 16S ribosomal RNA". It matches the Rfam family "Bacterial small subunit ribosomal RNA", at positions 28 to 507 of the family's 1533-position model. The record is from RNAcentral.
GACGAACGCUGGCGGCGUGCCUAAUACAUGCAAGUAGAACGCUGAAGGAGGAGCUUGCUUCUCCGGAUGAGUUGCGAACGGGUGAGUAACGCGUAGGUAACCUGCCUGGUAGCGGGGGAUAACUAUUGGAAACGAUAGCUAAUACCGCAUAAGAGUAGAUGUCGCAUGACAUUUGCUUAAAAGGUGCAACUGCACCACUACCAGAUGGACCUGCGUUGUAUUAGCUAGUUGGUGAGGUAACGGCUCACCAAGGCAACGAUACAUAGCCGACCUGAGAGGGUGAUCGGCCACACUGGGACUGAGACACGGCCCAGACUCCUACGGGAGGCAGCAGUAGGGAAUCUUCGGCAAUGGACGGAAGUCUGACCGAGCAACGCCGCGUGAGUGAAGAAGGUUUUCGGAUCGUAAAGCUCUGUUGUAAGAGAAGAACGAGUGUGAGAGUGGAAAGUUCACACUGUGACGGUAUCUUACCAGAAAGGGACGGCUAACUACGCG